This 652-nucleotide ribosomal RNA is filed under the name uncultured fungus. RNAcentral's name for it is "eukaryotic LSU rRNA". It matches the Rfam family "Eukaryotic large subunit ribosomal RNA", at positions 32 to 691 of the family's 3401-position model. Lineage: Eukaryota; Fungi. The record is from RNAcentral.
ACUUAAGCAUAUCAAUAAGCGGAGGAAAAGAAACCAACAGGGAUUGCCUUAGUAACGGCGAGUGAAGCGGCAAAAGCUCAGAUUUGAAAUCUGGUAUCAAAUUGAUACUCGAGUUGUAAUCUGUAGAGGAGUUUUUCGGAGUAUGGCAUUGGUUAAAGUUCCUUGGAAAAGGGCAUCAUAGAGGGUGAGAAUCCUGUUUAUGACCAGUGUCUGUCUCCAUUAUGAACCUCCUUCAAUGAGUCGAGUUGUUUGGGAAUGCAGCUCUAAAUGGGUGGUAAAUUCCAUCUAAAGCUAAAUAUUGGCAAGAGACCGAUAGCGCACAAGUAGAGUGAUCGAAAGAUGAAAAGAACUCUGAACAGAGAGUUAAAGAGUACGUGAAAUUGUUGAAAGGGAAGCACUUGUGACCAGACAAAUUUACGGUUAAUCAGCCAUCAAUUUUUGGUGGUGCACUUAAUUGUAGAUGGGUCAGCAUCAGUUAUAGUAGUGGAACAAAGAUCAAAGGAAUGUAGCUCCUCUUUGAGGAGUGUUAUAGCCUUUGGUUCAAUACCGCUGGCCAUGACUGAGGAUAGCACUUCCAGUAAGGAUGCUGACAUAAUGGUCAUAAGUGACCCGUCUUGAAACACGGACCAAGGAGUCUAACAUCUAUGCGAGU